AUUGAACGCUGGCGGCAUGCUUUACACAUGCAAGUCGAACGGUAACAGGUCUUCGGAUGCUGACGAGUGGCGAACGGGUGAGUAAUGCAUCGGAACGUGCCCAGUCGUGGGGGAUAACGCAGCGAAAGCUGUGCUAAUACCGCAUACGAUCUAUGGAUGAAAGCGGGGGAUCGCAAGACCUCGCGCGAUUGGAGCGGCCGAUGUCAGAUUAGCUAGUUGGUGGGGUAAAGGCCCACCAAGGCGACGAUCUGUAGCUGGUCUGAGAGGACGACCAGCCACACUGGGACUGAGACACGGCCCAGACUCCUACGGGAGGCAGCAGUGGGGAAUUUUGGACAAUGGGCGCAAGCCUGAUCCAGCAAUGCCGCGUGCAGGAAGAAGGCC
This 384-nucleotide ribosomal RNA is filed under the name uncultured bacterium. RNAcentral describes it as "bacterial SSU rRNA". It matches the Rfam family "Bacterial small subunit ribosomal RNA", at positions 30 to 416 of the family's 1533-position model. The record is from RNAcentral.